RNAcentral lists this ribosomal RNA (478 nucleotides) under uncultured bacterium. Its description in RNAcentral is "partial 16S ribosomal RNA". It matches the Rfam family "Bacterial small subunit ribosomal RNA", at positions 28 to 523 of the family's 1533-position model. The record is from RNAcentral.
GACGAACGCUGGCGGCGUGCUUAACACAUGCAAGUCGAACGGUAAGGCCCUUCGGGGUACACGAGUGGCGAACGGGUGAGUAACACGUGGGUGAUCUGCCCUGCACUUCGGGAUAAGCCUGGGAAACUGGGGCUAAUACCGGAUAGGACCACUGCCUGCAUGGGUGGUGGUGGAAAGCUUUUGCGGUGUGGGAUGGGCCCGCGGCCUAUCAGCUUGUUGGUGGGGUGAUGGCCUACCAAGGCGACGACGGGUAGCCGGCCUGAGAGGGUGACCGGCCACACUGGGACUGAGAUACGGCCCAGACUCCUACGGGAGGCAGCAGUGGGGAAUAUUGCACAAUGGGCGCAAGCCUGAUGCAGCGACGCCGCGUGAGGGAUGACGGCCUUCGGGUUGUAAACCUCUUUCAGCACCGACGAAGCGCAGGUGACGGUAGGUGCAGAAGAAGGACCGGCCAACUACGUGCCAGCAGCCGCGGUAA